GUGGGGAAUCUUCCGCAAUGGACGAAAGUCUGACGGAGCAACGCCGCGUGAGUGAUGAAGGUCUUCGGAUUGUAAAGCUCUGUUAAUCGGGGCGAAAGAGCCUAGUGUGAAUAAUGCUAGGAAGUGACGGUACCGGAAUAGAAAGCCACGGCUAACUACGUGCCAGCAGCCGCGGUAAUACGUAGGUGGCAAGCGUUGUCCGGAAUUAUUGGGCGUAAAGCGCGCGCAGGCGGAUCUGCCAGUCUGUCUUAAAAGUUCGGGGCUUAACCCCGUGAUGGGAUGGAAACUACAGAUCUAGAGUAUCGGAGAGGAAAGUGGAAUUCCUAGUGUAGCGGUGAAAUGCGUAGAUAUUAGGAAGAACACCAGUGGCGAAGGCGACUUUCUGGACGAAAACUGACGCUGAGGCGCGAAAGCCAGGGGAGCGAACGGGAUUAGAUACCCCAGUAGUCC
This 450-nucleotide ribosomal RNA is filed under the name uncultured bacterium. Its description in RNAcentral is "partial 16S ribosomal RNA". It matches the Rfam family "Bacterial small subunit ribosomal RNA", at positions 354 to 796 of the family's 1533-position model. The record is from RNAcentral.